Molecule: long non-coding RNA, 804 nt
Organism: Lathyrus oleraceus (garden pea)
Lineage: Eukaryota; Viridiplantae; Streptophyta; Magnoliopsida; Fabales; Fabaceae
Exons: 2
Source: RefSeq, a predicted model, not a curated record
CAAGGCUAAACCAAAAUGGUGCGCAUGGAAACGGAAAAUCGCUUAAAAAAAGCUGAAUCAAAUUGGGGAAAACGACUUUUGCAAAUGCUAAAGUCCGGUCGUGUUUUGGAUCAUCGUGCUUCGUCGCUCGUUGUCACGCCUCACCGUCAUCAUCAUCACGUCUCAAGGAUUUUGUUCGAUUCUAUCUUCAUCAUGUUCAUACUUUUUGACGCAUACGUUCAUCAGUCGCGGUGGAGAGGAAUUCGUCGAUUGCUUUCUUGAAAUAAGUCACACCGGAAACGCUGCGACUCAGGUUUCAAUGCCCUCCAAUGCUGUUAAGCUCGGAAUUCGUUCAAAACGUGAUAUCGACGGAAGAAAAUCAAAGGAAAUGCGUCAAUAAGUUAGCUCGAAGCACUCACCGGAAAGAUGUCGACUUCACAGGUGCAGGGCAGAUUUGAGUUUGCUGCAGAAUUGUGCCAGGAUUUGUGCUGCUAUCAAGCUUGUUUUAUGCACUACCAUUGUGAAGGUGAGGGAAUUGCUCCUGCCAUAACUUGUUAUUCCAUUGUUUAUUGGGAUGUUUGGACUGCUGUCUGAUGUCGCCAUACUAUGUGAAUUGAUUGAUUAAUCAAGUUGGCUUGAGUUAGUUUUUGGAACGUUAGCCGUUGAUGUUGUUACUUGAAAUUAGGAGUUUGUUUAUUCUGUUUUUGUGCAGGUUAGUAUUUAAUUUAUGGGUAAUGCUAACUUGUGCCCCAAGGGCACAAGUUAAGAAACCCACAAAUGGAAAAAUUUUAUUGAAAAAAACAAUAGAAUCAUUAAUUAUGACUU